AUUGAACGCUGGCGGCAUGCCUUACACAUGCAAGUCGAACGGCAGCACGGGACUCGGGCAACUGAGCCCUGGUGGCGAGUGGCGAACGGGUGAGUAAUGCAUCGGAACGUGCCCAGUAGUGGGGGAUAACUAGUCGAAAGAUUAGCUAAUACCGCAUACGACCUAUGGGUGAAAGCGGGGGAUUUUCGGGCAACCGAGAACCUCGCGCUAUCGGAGCGGCCGAUGCUGAUUAGCUAGUUGGCGGGGUAAAAGCCCACCAAGGCUUCGAUCAGUAGCUGGUCUGAGAGGACGACCAGCCACACUGGGACUGAGACACGGCCCAGACUCCUACGGGAGGCAGCAGUGGGG
RNAcentral lists this ribosomal RNA (348 nucleotides) under uncultured bacterium. RNAcentral's name for it is "bacterial SSU rRNA". It matches the Rfam family "Bacterial small subunit ribosomal RNA", at positions 30 to 359 of the family's 1533-position model. The record is from RNAcentral.